UCCGAAUUGGUGUAGUGGCUAACAUUUGACGCUCUCAUUAAUUAUAAUAAUAAUUGAAGUUACCGUCAAGCCCGGGGUUCGAUUCCCCGAUUCGGAG
This is a non-coding RNA of Poronia punctata, 97 nucleotides long. Lineage: Eukaryota; Fungi; Ascomycota; Sordariomycetes; Xylariales; Xylariaceae. The record is from the annotation of a GenBank genome assembly.